AUGGGUAUGCAGGCUAUGAUGGAUGUCCAGUGCACGAACCUUGUCAACCCUGUAUGCGACUGGCUUGGUGAGAUCUACGACCCCGCCUCCAAGGAAUUCGUGAUUCCGGGACAUGGAAGACUACCGUUAAACGAGGAUUCUGUGUUCUGCACUUUUGGUGUGCCUCGUGGACAUAUCAAAGUCCCAUACGAGGCCAUGAUGACGCAUGGAGAUGUUUUCAAGAUGAAGUUACUCAUGUACCUCAUCUCAGCUGUUUUCGCGCCGACCACUUCUCUUCUCCCAAGCAACAAAUGCUUCCCCAUCCUGGCGGAUCUGAAAAAUGUGAAGAACAUGAAUUGGUGUAAGUUUAUUGCCGACUUCCUGCAUGAUGCAUUCUCUAGCAAGAUGUUCCAAAAGGGUUGUCGACUGCAUUUAAUGCUCAUGUACGUCGACUGUCUUGAUCUGUCCACCAUGGAUUUCACUGGGACUGGAGGCCCGCCACCUGUGCACAAGUUUGCUAUUUCUGCGUGGACUAUCAACGCUGUCAAGGCUGUGCUUGCCGCAGACAAGGCUACUGACACCACAUAUGGAAAACUGCAGAUGGAUGUCUGA
This 591-nucleotide ribosomal RNA is filed under the name Triticum aestivum (bread wheat). Its description in RNAcentral is "partial small subunit ribosomal RNA". Lineage: Eukaryota; Viridiplantae; Streptophyta; Magnoliopsida; Poales; Poaceae. The record is from RNAcentral.